RNAcentral lists this ribosomal RNA (466 nucleotides) under uncultured bacterium. Its description in RNAcentral is "bacterial SSU rRNA". It matches the Rfam family "Bacterial small subunit ribosomal RNA", at positions 331 to 796 of the family's 1533-position model. The record is from RNAcentral.
CCAGACUCCUACGGGAGGCAGCAGUGAGGAAUAUUGGUCAAUGGGCGCAAGCCUGAACCAGCCAAGUCGCGUGAGGGAUGACGGUCCUAUGGAUUGUAAACCUCUUUUGUCGGGGAGCAAGGCCCGCCACGUGUGGCGGGAAGGAGAGUACCCGAAGAAAAAGCAUCGGCUAACUCCGUGCCAGCAGCCGCGGUAAUACGGAGGAUGCGAGCGUUAUCCGGAUUUAUUGGGUUUAAAGGGUGCGCAGGCGGCACGGCAAGCCGGCGGUCAAAUCGCGGGGCUCAACCCCGCCCAGCCGUCGGAACUGCCGGGCUAGAGUGGGCGAGAAGUGCGCGGAAUGCGUGGUGUAGCGGUGAAAUGCAUAGAUAUCACGCAGAACUCCGAUCGCGAAGGCAAGUGUCCGGGGUGCAACUGACGCUGAGGCUCGAAAGUGCGGGUAUCAAACAGGAUUAGAUACCCGAGUACC